GCAUUUACCAUGUCAAAAGCAGCUCUUUGGACAUGUUGCAAUGGGUAUAGGUCAUUGAAACAGGCUACGGGGAUUGAUAAGACUGAUUUUAAUUCAUUUCCUAUAUCGAUACAGCCUUGAGUCUUGAUAAGGGUGAUUUUUAUGCAUUUCCCAUGUCAAAACCAGCUCUUAGGACAUGUUGCAAUGGGUAUAGGUCAUUGAAACAGGCUACGGGGAUUGAUAAGACUGAUUUUAAUACAUUUCCUAUAUCAACACAGCCUUAAGUCUUGAUAAGGGUGAUUUUUAUGCAUUUACCAUGUCAAAACCAGCUCUUUGGACAUGUUGCAAUGGGUAUAGUGCAUUGAAACAGGCUACGGGGAUUGAUAAGACUGAUUUUAAUACAUUUCCUAUAUCGAUACAGCCUUAAGUCUUGAUAAGGGUGAUUUUUAUGCAUUUACCAUGUCAAAACCAGCUCUUAGGACAUGUUGCAAUGGGUAUAGUGCAUUGAAACAGGCUACGGGGAUUGAUAAGACUGAUUUUAAUACAUUUCCCAUAUCAACACAGCCUUAAGUCUUGACACGGGUGAUUUUUAUGCAUUUACCAUGUCAAAACCAGCUCUUAGGACACGUAGCAAUGGGUAUAGGUCAUUGAAACAGGCUACGGGGAUUGAUAAGACUGAUUUUAAUACAUUUCCCAUAUCAACACAGCCUUAAGUCUUGAUAAGGGUGAUUUUUAUGCAUUUACCAUGUCAAAACCAGCUCUUAGGACAUGUUGCAAUGGGUAUAGGUCAUUGAAAUAGGCUACGGGGAUUGAUAAGACUGAUUUUAAUACAUUUCCCAUAUCAACACAGCCUUGAGGACACGUUACACUGGAUAUAAGCCUUGAUAAGGGUGAUUUUUAUGCAUUUACCAUGUCAAAAACUAGCUCGAAAAUCCCUAAUCUGUCUCUCUUUAGCCAGCGAGGGGCCGUUUACAAGGUGGAUACCCUUCACUAAAUUGUUAAUAACUCUGUAAUUACCAUCGCCACAUCAAUUCCGGAGACAUAUUUGGAAUCCUCAUUAAAUUUUACAUCUAAUGAGUAUAUGAUUAAUCUUCUCACUACCAUAGAUGAUUUUAUAUGAAUUUUUUUGUAUAGGACUACACACAAUUUGUACAGCCUACGCACAUCCAUCAGACCUUAGACCUUAAAAUACCAGAGAUUCAAGAACGCAGAACGCAGACAUGAGCGAGACAUUCAGUACUCGAAAACCUCAAUCUGUCUCUCUUUAGCCAGCGAGGGGCCAUUUACAAGGUGGGUAUAGGGACACACAUCCAUCAGACCUUAGACCUUAAAAUACCAGAGAUUCAAGAACGCAGAACACAGACAUCAGCGAGACAUUCAGUACUCGAAAACCUCAAUCUGUCUCUCUUUAGCCAGCGAGGGGCCAUUUACAAGGUGGGUAUAGGGAAACACAUCCAUCAGACCUUAGACCUUAAAAUACCAGAGAUUCAGGAACGCAGAACACAGACAUCAGCGAGAAAUUCAGUACUCGAAAUACCUCAAUCUGUCUCUCUUUAGCCAGCGAGGGGCCAUUUACAAGGUGGGUAUAGGGACACACAUCCAUCAGACCUUAGACCUUAAAAUACCAGAGACUCAGGAACGCAGAACGCAGACAUCAGCGAGAUAUUCAGUACUUGAAAUACCUCAAUCUGUCUCUCUUUAGCCAGCGAGGGGCUGUUUACAAGGUGGGUAUAG
Molecule: long non-coding RNA, 1713 nt
Organism: Eriocheir sinensis (Chinese mitten crab)
Lineage: Eukaryota; Metazoa; Arthropoda; Malacostraca; Decapoda; Varunidae
Exons: 4
Source: RefSeq, a predicted model, not a curated record